CCAUUUGUUAUGGUUUAAAUUUAACAGUGUUAAGGCUAUCAAUGGUAUCAAUAGGAAAAACCAGAUAGAAAUAUUAUACUAUUUAUGAAAGUAAGAUAUAACCUCAAUAAAAUUUUACGUCCAAUAAAGUGCCAGCAGACGCGGUCAGACUUUUGUAAAUAGUUAAAUUACUAUAAAGUAUAUUAAUAAAUAUUACUAUAUCUUUGGUGAAAUAAGCAAAUAACACCUUCAUAUUUUAUUUAAUCUAAAACACUGACCUUAAACUAGGAUUAGAUACCCUAUUAUACAGUGUACAUAAAUAUACUCCAAGUACUAAAACCACAAAGGUUAAAACUUAAAUAAUAUGGCGGUAAUUUUAACAUUUAGGGGAACUUAUCUGAUAAAUGAUAACCACCAAGGUUAACCUACUUUAUAUAAAAUUUUGUAUGCCGUCGUCACCAGAUAAUACUAGAUGUAAUAUCUCAAAAUAUAUUUAUAACAGGACAGAUCAAGGUGUAGACUAUUAUAAAGACAAGACGAGUUACUAUAAUUUUGCGGAUAUAGGGGAGAAAAUCUCUCUUGAAGGAGGACUUAAAGGUAAUUUAUAUUACUCAUACUAAAUGAAUACAACUAAAAUUAUGCACAAAUCGCCCGUCACUCUUGAUGUAACUUAAGAUAAGUCGUAACAUAGUAGGCGUAGCGGAAGCUGCUCCU
This 693-nucleotide ribosomal RNA is filed under the name Mastigeulota kiangsinensis. RNAcentral describes it as "12S ribosomal RNA". The record is from RNAcentral. Lineage: Eukaryota; Metazoa; Mollusca; Gastropoda; Stylommatophora; Camaenidae.